RNAcentral lists this ribosomal RNA (327 nucleotides) under Triticum aestivum (bread wheat). RNAcentral's name for it is "partial small subunit ribosomal RNA". The record is from RNAcentral. Lineage: Eukaryota; Viridiplantae; Streptophyta; Magnoliopsida; Poales; Poaceae.
AUGCAAGGAUACCAGAAUGUGGGUUGCUUUAGAUUUGCCUUGAGGAACUGGCGACAAAAUACACUGAAACCAGGUUUGUUAAAAUUAUCUCCACGAACUAUAUUCCCAACUACCCAUAUAGGAUGUUGCCAAAGGGAUUUCUGUUGGUCUGUAGAAGCUCUGUGGAACAAAAUGCACACCUGUAAGUUAUAUGACACAACCAGUUUCCAUUAUCUUAGUUCAAGGUUUCUUUUUGUGAGGUUAGUUCAAGUUACUCUUCUUUAUUUAGUUGGCUGGACAAAAAAAGCAGUGUGUGGCUAUCUUAAAGUUGCAAUUACCCAAUCGUAG